This 159-nucleotide ribosomal RNA is filed under the name Meloidogyne arenaria. RNAcentral's name for it is "5.8S rRNA". It matches the Rfam family "5.8S ribosomal RNA". From Rfam's summary of the family: 5.8S ribosomal RNA (5.8S rRNA) is a component of the large subunit of the eukaryotic ribosome. It is transcribed by RNA polymerase I as part of the 45S precursor that also contains 18S and 28S rRNA. Functionally, it is thought that 5.8S rRNA may be involved in ribosome translocation. The record is from RNAcentral. Lineage: Eukaryota; Metazoa; Nematoda; Chromadorea; Rhabditida; Meloidogynidae.
CUACCCUUAUCGUGGCAUGACACUAGGCUCGUGGAUCGAUGAAGAACGCAGCAAACUGCGAUACUUAACACGAACUGCAGAACCUUGAGCAUAAAAGUUUUGAACGCGUAGUACCGCAUUGGGGUCAAACCCUUUGCUACGUCUGGUUCAGGUUUGUUU